This 501-nucleotide ribosomal RNA is filed under the name uncultured Glomeromycotina. Its description in RNAcentral is "partial small subunit ribosomal RNA". It matches the Rfam family "Eukaryotic small subunit ribosomal RNA", at positions 591 to 1092 of the family's 1831-position model. Lineage: Eukaryota; Fungi; Glomeromycota. The record is from RNAcentral.
CCAAUAGCGUAUAUUAAAGUUGUUGCAGUUAAAAAGCUCGUAGUUGAAUUUCGGGGUUAGCAGGUUGGUCGUGCCAAUGGUAUGCACUGGCCUUGCUGAUUCCUCCCUCUUGUAGAACCGUAAUGCCAUUAAGUUGGUGUUGCGGGGAAACAGGACUGUUACUUUGAAAAAAUUAGAGUGUUUAAAGCAGGCUAACGCUUGAAUUACAUUAGCAUGGAAUAAUGAAAUAGGACGAUCGAUCCUAUUUUGUUGGUUUCUAGGAUUGACGUAAUGAUUAAUAGGGAUAGUUGGGGGCAUUAGUAUUCAAUUGUCAGAGGUGAAAUUCUUGGAUUUAUUGAAGACUAACUACUGCGAAAGCAUUUGCCAAGGAUGUUUUCAUUAAUCAAGAACGAAAGUUAGGGGGUCGAAGACGAUCAGAUACCGUCGUAGUCUUAACCAUAAACUAUGCCGACUAGGGAUCGGAUGAUGUUAAUUUUUUAAUGACUCAUUCGGCGCCUUACG